This 429-nucleotide ribosomal RNA is filed under the name Chloroflexota bacterium. Its description in RNAcentral is "Chloroflexi bacterium partial 16S ribosomal RNA". It matches the Rfam family "Bacterial small subunit ribosomal RNA", at positions 355 to 776 of the family's 1533-position model. The record is from RNAcentral. Lineage: Bacteria; Bacillati; Chloroflexota.
UGGGGAAUAUUGCACAAUGGGCGCAAGCCUGAUGCAGCCAUACCGCGUGUAUGAAGAAGGCCUUCGGGUUGUAAAGUACUUUCAGUCGGGAGGAAGGUGUCAAGGUUAAUAACCUUGGCAAUUGACGUUACCGACAGAAGAAGCACCGGCUAACUCCGUGCCAGCAGCCGCGGUAAUACGGAGGGUGCAAGCGUUAAUCGGAAUUACUGGGCGUAAAGCGCACGCAGGCGGUCUGUCAAGUCGGAUGUGAAAUCCCCGGGCUCAACCUGGGAACUGCAUUCGAAACUGGCAGGCUAGAGUAUUGUAGAGGGGGGUAGAAUUCCAGGUGUAGCGGUGAAAUGCGUAGAGAUCUGGAGGAAUACCGGUGGCGAAGGCGGCCCCCUGGACAAAGACUGACGCUCAGGUGCGAAAGCGUGGGGAGCAAACAGG